Molecule: ribosomal RNA, 460 nt
Filed under: uncultured bacterium
Lineage: Bacteria
Description: partial 16S ribosomal RNA
Rfam family: Bacterial small subunit ribosomal RNA
Source: RNAcentral
CCUACGGGCGGCAGCAGUGAGGAAUAUUGGUCAAUGGCCGGAAGGCUGAACCAGCCAAGUCGCGUGAGGGAAUAAGGCCCUAUGGGUCGUAAACCUCUUUUGUCAGGGAGCAAAGGCGUCCACGUGUGGACGAGAGGAGAGUACCUGAAGAAAAAGCAUCGGCUAACUCCGUGCCAGCAGCCGCGGUAAUACGGAGGAUGCGAGCGUUAUCCGGAUUUAUUGGGUUUAAAGGGUGCGUAGGCGGAGUGUCAAGUCAGCGGUAAAAUUUCGGGGCUCAACCCCGUCGUGCCGUUGAAACUGACGCCCUUGAGUGAGUGAGAAGUAGGCGGAAUGCGUGGUGUAGCGGUGAAAUGCAUAGAUAUCACGCAGAACACCAGUGGCGAAAGCGGCUCUCUGGUCUGUAACUGACGCUGAGGUUCGAAAGCGUGGGUAGCAAACAGGAUUAGAUACCCCUGUAGUC